Molecule: RNA transcript, 1926 nt
Organism: Hibiscus syriacus
Lineage: Eukaryota; Viridiplantae; Streptophyta; Magnoliopsida; Malvales; Malvaceae
Gene name: B3 domain-containing protein Os07g0563300-like
Exons: 9
Source: RefSeq, a predicted model, not a curated record
ACCAGAAAUCGGGCCCCUUCAGCAUAUGCUGCAAGCAACGGACUCUCCUCAAGUACCAUCUGCUGACCCGGAGAAAACGAUAACGGGGGUCUAUCCAAUUAAACCACCUGGAUGUGUUGUACGCAAUGUCUCACCUAAUGAGGUAUCCAUUCCAACUACUCCUGGAUUUGAACCUCAAGCUCAAUCUCCUCUAGAAGAAAUUGAAGAAGAAGACUCUGUGAAUUCACCUGCUGAGACCAAAAGGUCUCGUCGGAAGAAUGGUGGCAAGCGUCGUAAACGUACCCAUAACCAGACUCAAGUACAAUAUAGGUACGCGCCAAAGACAACUCCAGCGGAGCUAAGGGAAAUAUGCAGAGAGUCAAAAUCAAGUCUUGUUCCUUUGUUUUCGAAAGAAUUGACUGUUAGUGAUGCUGACAUGAGGAAUGGGCGUCUAGUGUUACCAAAGAGGUGUGCGGAGGUGUAUUUCCCAAAUAUUUCGGGCCAACAAGGAAUCUUCCUCAUGGUGCAAGACACAAAAGGAAAUGACUGGGAACUUUACUUCCAUUACUGGUCAAAUAGUAAUGGAAAAAUGUAUCUUUUGGAAGGGCUUAAAGACUACAUGGUCCUGAUGAAAUGGGAAGUAGGUGAUACAGUUACAUUUUAUAAACGAGAAGAAGAUGGAAAAUUGUUCAUGGGAUUCAAAAAGUAUCAGGCUCCAAAUGUUGUUCUGAAGAGAUCAACUGAUGCUUGAAACUGACUUUAGCUUUCAAAGGCCAUUGUGAACCUUGUGCUUUUCAUCUAAGGUGUUGGAAGUUCCUUUUAUACAUGCUGUUGUCCGUCGGCGAACUAUUACAUUGGUGUCAGAGAAGGAUCCAUGGACAAAAAGAGAGUAUCGGUGGCAUGCCAAAAAUUGGAUACGUUUCCACUUGGACAUAAUAAGUAGAGCUCUCCGACUGAUUGACAGUUGUCUGGGGGGAUUCAGUAGCUACCGACGUAAAUAUGCAUUGGCUACCUUGCUUGAUCCGUUCUAGAUUUCUGUCGUCCUGUCUGGGAACAUUUCGGAAUUCAGGUCAGAUGUAUAAUUUCUUUUUCACUAUUUAUUCUAAUCUUUUAAAGAUGAUCCUUAAUGAAUUUCCAGCUUGUUACCGUCUUUCCUUCAAAGAGAAGUUUAUACUACACCGUCUUUCCUUCAAAUAUGCAGGGGAUUGUUGUUGUAUAGUAACCCAUUGAGUGGCGUUAUUGGUAAAAUGAAAUGUUGUUCUCCCUAUAGGAUCCGAGUCUGAAUAACUAUGUCUGCAGAGAGAGUGCGCACGUUGUCAAUAGGCUAAAAAAAUUCUGAACAAAUAGUUUUUGCUAAGACUUACAUUAAUGCCGACUUCAUCAUGCCGCAUAUUUGCGGAGGAUGCGAGCGAUUGGUAUGAAUAAUAAGAAGACAAAAAGCUUAUAUGCUUUUAGAUGAAGGAAACCUUCAUUGAAGCAAGUUCAAACUGAUAUGUUACUUGUGAAUGAUCUAAAUACGAAAUUUCCCCCUUUCAAUUGUUGUGGCCGGACAUUCUAAUCUACAAUCAGUAAUGCCAUCAAGUUUAACAACUAUUGUACUUAAAUGUCACAACUCUGCCAUUAACACGGUAAGCUAUGUUUAGUAAUAAACUUCACACUGCGUUAAAUGAAUGACCUUUGUCUGGGAACAUAACCGAGUUCCUUAUAUGUCUUGUGCAAUUGAGUGUCUGGUAUCGUAUAUGGUAAUUUGUUUACAGAGAUUAAUUUACCAUCUUUGUUCUAUUAAUGGAGUCUUUUUCUGUGUCUUUUAUUUAGCAUGUUUAUAGCUACAUUUGUUGUUGUACAUGUGUUCAUUUUACAUUAGGUGAAAGGACAAGUUUACGAUUCCUGGCACGGUGUCAUAGGACAGUUCUGGAAUUCCGGCAUCCUGUACAGCAACUUUUAAGA